GACGAACGCUGGCGGCGUGCUUAACACAUGCAAGUCGAACGGAAAGGCCCUGCUUUUGUGGGGUGCUCGAGUGGCGAACGGGUGAGUAACACGUGAGUAACCUGCCCUUGACUUUGGGAUAACUUCAGGAAACUGGGGCUAAUACCGGAUAGGAGCUCCUGCUGCAUGGUGGGGGUUGGAAAGUUUCGGCGGUUGGGGAUGAACUCGCGGCUUAUCAGCUUGUUGGUGGGGUAGUGGCUUACCAAGGCUUUGACGGGUAGCCGGCCUGAGAGGGUGACCGGCCACAUUGGGACUGAGAUACGGCCCAGACUCCUACGGGAGGCAGCAGUGGCGAAUAUUGCACAAUGGGCGGAAGCCUGAUGCAGCAACGCCGCGUGCGGGAUGACGGCCUUCGGGUUGUAAACCGCUUUCGCCUGUGACGAAGCGUGAGUGACGGUAAUGGGUAAAGAAGCACCGGCUAACCACGUG
Molecule: ribosomal RNA, 468 nt
Filed under: uncultured bacterium
Lineage: Bacteria
Description: partial 16S ribosomal RNA
Rfam family: Bacterial small subunit ribosomal RNA
Source: RNAcentral